Molecule: ribosomal RNA, 427 nt
Filed under: uncultured Staphylococcus sp.
Lineage: Bacteria; Bacillati; Bacillota; Bacilli; Caryophanales; Staphylococcaceae
Description: bacterial SSU rRNA
Rfam family: Bacterial small subunit ribosomal RNA
Source: RNAcentral
AGUAGGGAAUCUUCCGCAAUGGGCGAAAGCCUGACGGAGCAACGCCGCGUGAGUGAUGAAGGUCUUCGGAUCGUAAAACUCUGUUAUUAGGGAAGAACAAACGUGUAAGUAACUGUGCACGUCUUGACGGUACCUAAUCAGAAAGCCACGGCUAACUACGUGCCAGCAGCCGCGGUAAUACGUAGGUGGCAAGCGUUAUCCGGAAUUAUUGGGCGUAAAGCGCGCGUAGGCGGUUUUUUAAGUCUGAUGUGAAAGCCCACGGCUCAACCGUGGAGGGUCAUUGGAAACUGGAAAACUUGAGUGCAGAAGAGGAAAGUGGAAUUCCAUGUGUAGCGGUGAAAUGCGCAGAGAUAUGGAGGAACACCAGUGGCGAAGGCGACUUUCUGGUCUGUAACUGACGCUGAUGUGCGAAAGCGUGGGGAUCAAA